AGUGAACGCUGGCGGCGUGCCUAAUACAUGCAAGUCGAACGGAAUUUAAAAGAGCUUGCUCUUUUAAAUUUAGUGGCGCACGGGUGAGUAAUAUAUAGCUAAUCUGCCCCUUGCUGGAGGACAACAGUUAGAAAUGACUGCUAAUACUCCAUACUCCUUUUUACCAUAAGAUAAAUCGGGAAAGAGUUUCGGCAAGGGAUGAGACUAUAUCGUAUCAGCUAGUCGGUGGGGUAACGGCCUACCGAGGCUAUGACGCGUAACUGGUCUGAGAGGAUGAUCAGUCACAUUGGAACUGAGACACGGUCCAAACUCCUACGGGAGGCAGCAGUAGGGAAUAUUGCGCAAUGGGGGAAACCCUGACGCAGCAACGCCGCGUGGAGGAUGACACUUUUCGGAGCGUAAACUCCUUUUGUUAGGGAAGAAUAAGACG
RNAcentral lists this ribosomal RNA (430 nucleotides) under Campylobacter gracilis. RNAcentral describes it as "bacterial SSU rRNA". It matches the Rfam family "Bacterial small subunit ribosomal RNA", at positions 29 to 456 of the family's 1533-position model. The record is from RNAcentral. Lineage: Bacteria; Pseudomonadati; Campylobacterota; Epsilonproteobacteria; Campylobacterales; Campylobacteraceae.